UGCAAGUCGAACGAUGAACCUCCUUCGGGAGGGGAUUAGUGGCGAACGGGUGAGUAACACGUGGGCAAUCUGCCCUGCACUCUGGGACAAGCCCUGGAAACGGGGUCUAAUACCGGAUACUGACCCGCUUGGGCAUCCAAGCGGUUCGAAAGCUCCGGCGGUGCAGGAUGAGCCCGCGGCCUAUCAGCUUGUUGGUGAGGUAAUGGCUCACCAAGGCGACGACGGGUAGCCGGCCUGAGAGGGCGACCGGCCACACUGGGACUGAGACACGGCCCAGACUCCUACGGGAGGCAGCAGUGGGGAAUAUUGCACAAUGGGCGAAAGCCUGAUGCAGCGACGCCGCGUGAGGGAUGACGGCCUUCGGGUUGUAAACCUCUUUCAGCAGGGAAGAAGCGAAAGUGACGGUACCUGCAGAAGAAGCGCCGGCUAACUACGUGCCAGCAGCCGCGGUAAUACGUAGGGCGCGAGCGUUGUCCGGAAUUAUUGGGCGUAAAGAGCUCGUAGGCGGCUUGUCACGUCGGUUGUGAAAGCCCGGGGCUUAACCCCGGGUCUGCAGUCGAUACGGGCAGGCUAGAGUUCGGUAGGGGAGAUCGGAAUUCCUGGUGUAGCGGUGAAAUGCGCAGAUAUCAGGAGGAACACCGGUGGCGAAGGCGGAUCUCUGGGCCGAUACUGACGCUGAGGAGCGAAAGCGUGGGGAGCGAACAGGAUUAGAUACCCUGGUAGUCCACGCCGUAAACGGUGGGCACUAGGUGUGGGCGACAUUCCACGUCGUCCGUGCCGCAGCUAACGCAUUAAGUGCCCCGCCUGGGGAGUACGGCCGCA
This is a ribosomal RNA of 822 nucleotides. It matches the Rfam family "Bacterial small subunit ribosomal RNA", at positions 56 to 890 of the family's 1533-position model.